This is a long non-coding RNA of Salvelinus fontinalis (brook trout), 7866 nucleotides long. RefSeq lists it as uncharacterized. Lineage: Eukaryota; Metazoa; Chordata; Actinopteri; Salmoniformes; Salmonidae. The transcript is spliced from 3 exons. The record is from RefSeq and is a predicted model, not a curated record.
UCGGAAAACAACUAAAGUAUGCUGCUAACAAACAAUAACUAGCCCCAAUUGUUUAACUUUUAAACUAUCCUCUUUGAACUGCUGGAUCUGAAUAAAUGGGUUGGAUGGAUGUCUUCGAUAGUCCAGCAAUCGAAUUGCAAGUUGUUCAUAUGCUAACAAUCCAAAAAUUCAGCUUAAAAAGAUAUUGCACUGCUACCCUCAGUUUUCAUCAUUCUUAGAGGGGGUCAGAACAAGCAAUGGAACCUGUAUUUAUCCUCUCUGUGGGUGGAAAAAAUAUCCUGCCGCAAAUAACGACAGACCUCAAAUAAAUCCUUCUGGAAGUUCACCAAGUAUGACGUUUUCGAAUGCUGUGGUCGCAUAAUCCUCACUGAUGGGGUUAUCUCCAAGUUAUUUACAGAAUACAACCAUAUCCCAGAUCCGAAAGGUGAUGAAUGGCCUGAAGGGGAGAAGACUGAAGACCCAGGAAGAAACCGACCAAGUUGUGGACCGUGGUACACAUUGUUUGCCUGCAUGUAUGUAUUUGGGGAGAAAUGCCCUUUCUGAAGAACAUGAGUUGGCGCAGAGGCACCGACAGAAGAACAACACGGCACCCCCUGUACCUACAUCCCUCUCCAAACUCGUCAUCCCAGCUGCUAGUAUCCACACAGCUCUGUCUUCUGUGCCUGGAGCAGUCUGGACUGGUUGAAGCCGAGUUGGACAGAUUAUUUUCAAAGCGUUUCAGACAAGUCUGCUGUGAAUCAUCAUAAUCAAUAUACUAUACCGCAUAAACUUGCUCUCCGCCACCAGUACAAGGAGAUGAUCGAAGGUGAACAAGCAAUACUUCAGCCUGGUGUUGUUGUAGGCAAGGAGCUUUCACUCAGAUGGAACCAGAUUUCAGCUGCUGUGCAAUGUUGAAGUCCUUCCUCCCAGAGAUGUAAAAGCAUCCCCCGGACGAGACACAACCCGGCAAACAUAGAUUUUUGAGAAGAUCAGAAUAUUUGCAAUGAAAAGGCCAUGGACAUUACAUGUCCUGCUCUAAAGGCUAGAUUCCUUUCUUCAUAUCAUAACAUGACCUGAACCACAGUUACUCAAAGAAUCUUAUGAUAUAGGUCUAGAUAUUGUUUUUACCUUUAUUAUACAACAAUAGACAAUUUCAUACAGUAAAUGGUUUGGUUAAUGGGGUAACUUGGUGACAUAAUGUUCAGAGAAUCCAUUUAGGCAAUUUGGUGAAAGUAUUAAUGUUCUAAAUAUACUGUAUGUUCUCCAAGGAUUAAUGUAGAUCAGGUGUGAAAAUCACAGCAAAAUGUUUGCAUGCCUUUUUCUCCUAAAUUGGAUAUUAGAUUUUUCAACUUUUAAAGCAGCAUUACUUCCACAUGUUUCCUCCAACUAAAGUGUAUGAUAUUCCCUUUUGAAGCUCUGUACAAAAAACAAUUUGAAAUGUUUUAACAUUUAGUAAUCAACAAAUAAAAAAAAUAAUGGGGCAAAAAAUACGGAAAAAUAAGAGAAAGCUACAUGACAAUGCAGUGCCAUUAAAAACAAGUUCACAAACUUUCCGCCAUGUUGAGGCGGAUCCGCACCCGUGUUGAGACUGCCGGGGAGAUGCGUCACCCAGAGUGAGGGAAAGUGCUCACUGCUCCACACCAGUAGGGAGCGAGCCAAGAAAAAGAUGGGGUGAGACCACACCAUCCCUGUCUGUUGAUGUAUGCCACCUUUUGGGAUAUAACUUGACCCAUGGGGGUCCCCAGUGACAACAGCCGCGAGUCCUUCCACUGUGCUAGAGCACGUAGACAGGACGGGGACACCAGUAGUGACCGGUUUAGGUGGCGCGAUGUGUACAAGCGAGUGUAUUCCCCACCACCUUUAAAGGUCGCAUCAGCAACAGCCCGAAAGGAACCACAGCUUUCAUAGAAGCCAUCAUCCCCAAUAUGCGCAGGCAGCUGAAAUUGAGCGAAGCCGGAAACCGGUCUUCCUCUGCAAGGAUAAGAACGCACAAUUCUCGACCGAGUCUAACUCAAGACCCAGAAACGGAAUCCGUUGUGGACUCAAACAUCUCUUCUAUUGAUUGACUAUGAAACCCAGAAACUGAACAUGGGAAACCAGCAUGGAUGUGUGUAACACCCCCUGCUCCCUUGGCUCUGCCACCACCAGCCAAUUGUCCAGGUUGUCCAAUAUCCUGAGCCCCAGACACCGCAUCGGUACCAAACUCAGCUCCACAACCUUUGUGAAAGUGCGAGGCGAGAGGGAAAGCCCGAAAGGGAGCCUCAGGACCUUUCUGUGAGGGGAAUAUAUGGCCAUGAAUGUACGCCUCCUUCAGGUCGAUGGAGGUGAACCAAUUGCCCCGGCGCACUGACUGUAACUGUAACAACUGGCUGUUCGUGAGCAUUCUGAAUUUGUAGAUGCAGGUGUGCUUGUUUAGGAUACACAGGUCUAAAAAGGGAUGCAAAGUACAAACCAGGAAAUACUGGCUAUACCAGCCGUCCUGGGCCUCUGACAUAGGAACCAUUCGGUUUGCCUACUUCUGGAGAAGGGAAGAAAUCUCCCUCUAAAUGGGCAUUGAGGCUUCAGGAAUAGUUGACAUAAUGAUGCCUUUAAAUCCUUGGGGACGCACAAUGAAUUGUAGCCUGUACCCCAUGUCACUGUUUGCAUAAUCCAGGGCAACACUGCGCAUGCAAGCCAUUGGUCUACACAGAGAGUCUCCCAUAAAGUGCCAUCAAAACGGGUUCAACGACACCUUGUGGGCUCUGAGAAUUUGGUUAUUUUUCCAUGCCUUUUUUAAUUUACACAACUCUCGAAAAGAGAGUGUCUGACUGUGUGGGAAACAAACUAUUUUUAUUAAGCUCACAUGGAGGACACAACCCUCUUGACACCCGUGAACACCGUGGAACUUGAAAUAAUACUUAAUGUGUUUAAGUGAAGAUGUUUGCCUGAAGCCCGGUCCACUCUGGGUUCGGGGGCUUCGGCUACCAGUGACGUACCCGAUAUACCUUGCCACUAAGGGGUACUGUUGUCACAGCGAACAUCUGAAGAGGGGACCAUGCCCCCUCCCCUCUCACCAGGUGCACGGGGGCUGCUGCCUACCCGCCCCAGCCCCUCCAUCCUCUCCACAUCCACGAAGUGGGAAUACCCUUGCAACAUCAGCUUGGUUGAAUGUGGCUGGGCUCAGGUUGUCUUAAGCUCACUUCACAAAACUAGUUACCAAUUAACACACAACGUGCAGAAGAAUGAGCACGCCCUCCUUAAGUGGGACAGUUAAGUUGGAGUAAAGAUGUUCCAAUGUUUGUUUUUUAAAGAAAGGCAUGAAUUGUUCUGCUCAGCUCAAGGUGAAGAGCAGAAGAAUUUACGGAACUCAUCCGUGACUUGGGUUUAUCACCUGUGGAAGGUGGUGCUUGUAAUGAGGCACGGUGUUCAUUGGCCUUGUCAGACGUGAUUCAAAUGUUCUUCAGUAAAGGGCGCUGGUGCGCGAACUCUCCCUAGCCUUGUACCGAGUUGACCGACUGAAAGUUGAACUAUCAUUGAGGACUAUGACCCUCCGAUGAGCUCCACAACUAGUCAUUCAUAUACCCUGGUUGCUUGUUGUUUGAUUUGAAAUCCCCACAGCUGUUAAGGUUUUUCCUCCAGAGAAAAUACAAAUAUUUACCAGAGGCUCCCAUAGUGCCCGGGAGCUGAGACUCGAGCACACCGUGUAGUCUGUGCCUGGCAGAGGGUUCAUAAUGCAGCCUGAGUUGUUGUCUCACCGGAGCCCGCUGCUUCGCGCCUGCAAGGCUUCCGGGGCUGCUAAAUGUGGGAGUUAUUUCCUUCAAUGAUUUAUUAGGUUAUCUCUACACCAUUGCCCUGGGAUUUCAAGUGGGCUGCAGAGUGAAAAAAUGAGAGGAGGCCUAAGCUUAAUCAUCCCAACACUCCUGUUCUGACUCGCUCACUUUGCAAGAAUGCAUAUUCACAUCACUAGCCUAAAACACACAUCAAAGCAUUACAUUCUUUUUUGAUGUGUAGGUUAUUCAUUUAACGAAUGAUUGCCUUUUGUAUUUCCAUAACGCUGUUAGACUGUAGCAAACAAAUUACACAUACCGAAGGUCGGUUUCAAAGUGCAAUUCCCUCAUUAGUCACAUGUCUGUGCUGUUGUUUGGUCUAGACGGGCAGUGGAUGCCAUCAGAACAUUUACAAUGUCUGAGUGUCAACUUGUUCCCACAUUUCUGUUGAUUUGUUUUGCUCAUAGGUCAAAGUCUUUAAUAUUUUGCAUGAUAGUAACAUUACUCCCUGUAUUCUGUAAGGAUACAUUUUUAUAGUCACCCUAUGUUUUUCAAUGGACAAUAAACACUGUAGCCUAACUUGACUGAACUUGACAGACAAAAAGAGCAUUUCAGAUGCUUCCCCUAUUUAGCCUUAAUUCAUGUGGAAGAAAGUAGGGCCAUUUUCCACAUGAGUUCAGUUUAUGCCGACCCCUUUAGCUGAUCAGUGAAUUGGAUUCCUCGGAACACGUGCUUUUUUGGUUUACUUGAAUUUAUUGAAGAGCUCUGUUAUGACUCCAUUUUCUCUGUAGCCCCAUUGCUUCUGAACAUCUUGCAUCAGUACACAGUCAUCUGUGUCCUGGCAUAGGCUGCAAAUGUAGUCAUGGGAGACUAUUUUACCACAAUGAUAAAGAAGUGCUUUGGAAUUUGAUUGCAUCAUUUUGUCUCUUGAUAACAUUUGUCUCUCCUCAUGAAUGAUUUCAUUGCCUGGGUGUGGGCCAUUGUUUUAUUUACAGAUGCCAAAAUGCAAAACGUGUCACUGCUUGACACCACAGGACGUGAUGGAUUUUUCAUGCCACUUCACCCAUGUACUUAAACUGAGUCAUCAACCAAUUAUAUGAUAGUACUGAAUCAUCUCUCUAAGUAGAGGACUUUGAAACACUGACCUGCAAUUACUUUAAUAGGUUAAUAUUUACUUUUGACCUGCAAUUACUUGAAUAGGUUAAUAUAAUUCUCUCGUGAAAUAUACUAUAUCUAACGGGCAUUCAGAUGGUUCCAGCCAUAUUGUGUAUGGGGAAUCAAUACCCACAGUAUCAUUGGAUAAGAUAAUAAGAACGUCCAUCGAUAUGCUGCACGCUAUUUUAGAUUACUCUGGAGCUUUUUGACAACACAGUGUCCAGGUGCCCGACUCACUGCUGAAAAAUAUGUUACUAUUGAAAUACAACCGCUAUCAACAUGAUCACCUUUGUUGUAAUUAUAUAGUAGCCAAAAGGCUUAGUAUCUGUUACAUGUUUUUCAAGUAUGAGAUCUUUGCUAAACCUAUGAGAGACAUUUGAAUGUCUUUACAGGGCUGUGAAUGUGAGGAAGCUAUCAGGUCUGAGUGCUCUGAUUAUCAGUCCUCACACUUGAUAGCCCAUCUCCUCUACAAUGAAAGGGGAAAUGGCAGUAAUGGUGAGAGAAAAAUGCAAUUUAGAUGUGAGACAAACUCUUGAUAAACUACUUACAAAAGCCAUGCAGUUUCACAUUUCCACUUAGACUGAACAUUGAAACAUAACUGGCCCCCAUCUAUUGAUUUUCCUCAUUCUUCUCAAUAUCAUCAGGCUGUUGAUAGGAUUUACACCAGAAGACAGUCAAGGAAGACAGUCAGAGAAGGCUGGAAGAGAAGCCCUCCUCCAGGAUAGAGGGGCAUAUGGUAGAUCGCAGGUUUUCUUUCUAUUUGCCCCAUUAGUUAGAGCCUACCUUGGAGGGAGAACAUGGAGAUAGAACACAGUGGUGUAUCUGCAGUAGAGCAAGUCUGUGAUGCCAGUUUUGCCAUGGACGAGCACCAAUUAGAUCAACAGAAGUGAGUUGUUGUUUUUUUGUUACUUUAUUUUAUAUUAAUCUACUCCAGCGUGCUGAUAUGACUGAAGAUACUGUAGAGUACAAUGAUUUGGAUACUGCAAUACUUUGUAUGUAGUGCUACACAUGAAAUAUGCAUGUGUUAUUACUGUGUUAUUGCGCUGUCUGCAGGUUAUUUUUUAAGCACAUUUCUAGUGUUAGUAUUUUCACAAUCUUUGUAAUGUGCAAAGUUAUCACAGUUAACAGGUGGAUGUAUUUUAGUUAAGGGUCUUCACAGCUGUAGCAAUAUUCAAGUAGGAUAUAUGCAAAACAUUGUGUGUGUAAGCCAAGAGCAGAUGACUGUUUAGGUCUGCCUUAGAAUAUAUUUGUUAGGUAGACAAAACAAGGACAUUUGAAAAAAGCAGAGCCGCUCACUCGGAGCUCAGAUGCAAUCAUUUUAGAACCAACGUUUCGACAGCCAAGCUGUCUUCAUCAGGGUACAGUGAUGAACUGCGGGUCACUAGUUUAUAUAGUUUGAAAGGAGACGCACAGGUGUCUGUAAUCAUGGCCGGCUGCGGCUUGAUUUCAUUGGUCGAUUUACAGAUAUAAAUAGAACAUAUAAAAAAGAGGAAUGGAUUACAUAAUAUCAUAGAUACAAUUUGGCCACAUACUGCAGGCCUACAAAUAUUAUUUACAAUGGAUAGCAAAAACACAAUAAUCACAAAAACCAUAUGAUUUCUAGCUUUGACAAUUGAGCCAGUCAUGCUUUAAAAAGGUUCCAGCAGCCAGUCUGCUAAUUUCUAAGUGACACCCUGGGCUUUGUGACCUUACUGGCUUUCCAUGGCCACAUUGAUUUUCCUCCCACAUUACAGAUAAUUGCUGGGUACUGUGAAUCCUAUCCUCCCAGAGCUGUAACAGGGAGGUGCUGUAGUGUGUAGAGAGCUGCUAUCUGAUAUUGGGAAGAUGAUAGACCUUCAUCUCAUUGACUGUUGGGUUUCACUGGAAAACCUCCAUUCUCUGCUAGGAGUAGAGAAACAGUUAUAGACACUAUAGAGUGGAGUUGAUGUAGUUAUUAUAGAGUUUGUUAUGAACUUAAAUUGUAUUUAAUUAAUUAUGAAUCUUGUUUUCAAAUAAUUAUGAACCUUGUUUUCAAAAAGAUUACUGUAUCAUGAAAAUGAGAUACCAAGAAAUGGGCUACAUAAAAGUUUGAAGUUUAGAUUCAGAACCGAGAGGGAGUAUUUUACACACUCAUAACGAUGUAACCUUUCUCUGACUUCCAUGCAAUAUAGUAUUUCCAUAUAGCUAAUAUCAUUCAUGAGAAUAAUGUUCAAUUUUAUGAAGAUUUCAUUCUAAUUGGUCAACAUAUAAUAAUACACUUUUCAAAUUGUGAAACAAAUCACACUAUUGGUCCAAUAAAUUGAGUCAGUGGGUUUUGUGAAUACAUUAGUCACCUUUAGUACAGUGUUUGGUGUCUCCCGGAGCUGUAGUUAAUAUUUUUAUAAUUCUGCUGUUUUGCAUGGUGUAACUGUCAUCGUUUUAUGCAAAUCACUGCAUAUCACUGCUCUAUAAACUCGAACAAAGACACUUUCCCCCCCUCCUAAUGUCACAAACAAAACUAUUUUGUAAAACUAACUCACUGCGAGUGAAUCACUUAUUUGAUGGUUUGUAGACAUUUUCAUGUCCGUCAUGUACAGAGUAGUCAUUUAUGUGUAGUUGGUGACUAUUGUAUGGUUAUUUUGUGGCUAUUAGUGUACCAUCCUUGUUAUUUGUUUUAUUAUGUUAUAUAUGCCUAAGUGUCACGCCCUGACCAUAGAUUGCUUUGUAUGUUUCUAUGUUUUGUUUGGUCAGGGUAUGAUGUGGGUGGGCAUUCUAUGUUGUAUGUCUAGGUUGUCUAUUUCUGUGUUUGGCCUGGUGUGGUUCCCAAUCAGAGGCAGCUGUCUAUCGUUGUCUCUGAUUGGGAGCUAUACUUAGGUAGCCUGUUUUCCAUUAUGUGUUGUGGGUGAUUGUUUUCUGUUUGUGCGUAUUGCUUUCAGAACUGUUUCGUUUUCGUUCUCUCUCUUUAUUAAUUUUUGUCAAUUCAGUGUUCAGUUUAUUUUGUUUAUUAAAAUGAACACGUACCACGCUG